GGGCUGGGUAGUACUGGGGGUACCUCAAUUCUGCCACUCUUGUGUCUGGCGCAUGGAUGUAGUUCCCCUUAGAUGGAUGGACAACAGGCUGUCCUCCUCCUUGGUAGUAGGGAAGAUCUCUCUCUUUGUAGAUCACUCGCGGCCCUGUUAAAUAUUCCAGUGGCUCUGCAGGUCCACGUCUUUCAACAGAUGCAAAAUGGCUUCUGUAUGCU
RNAcentral lists this long non-coding RNA (212 nucleotides) under Gallus gallus (chicken). The record is from RNAcentral. Lineage: Eukaryota; Metazoa; Chordata; Aves; Galliformes; Phasianidae.